UUCGUCCGGACCUCCGAACUAUGAUGCCCGCAAGGGCGAAGGAUUAUGAUGGCUGUCGGUACUGUUAAGUGGUUCAACGAGCAAAAGGGCUUCGGCUUCAUCCAGCCGGAUAACGGCGGCAACGACGUGUUCGUGCACAUCUCCGCCGUCGAGCGCGCCGGUAUGCGCGGUCUCGCCGAAGGCCAGAAGGUCUCCUACGAAAUGGAAACCGACA
This 214-nucleotide unclassified non-coding RNA is filed under the name Methylobacterium bullatum. RNAcentral's name for it is "cspA". Lineage: Bacteria; Pseudomonadati; Pseudomonadota; Alphaproteobacteria; Hyphomicrobiales; Methylobacteriaceae. The record is from RNAcentral.